This 286-nucleotide ribosomal RNA is filed under the name Acinetobacter sp. V2. RNAcentral's name for it is "partial 16S ribosomal RNA". It matches the Rfam family "Bacterial small subunit ribosomal RNA", at positions 1253 to 1533 of the family's 1533-position model. Lineage: Bacteria; Pseudomonadati; Pseudomonadota; Gammaproteobacteria; Moraxellales; Moraxellaceae. The record is from RNAcentral.
CCUAGCGAUAGGAUGCUAAUCUCAAAAAGCCGAUCGUAGUCCGGAUUGGAGUCUGCAACUCGACUCCAUGAAGUCGGAAUCGCUAGUAAUCGCGGAUCAGAAUGCCGCGGUGAAUACGUUCCCGGGCCUUGUACACACCGCCCGUCACACCAUGGGAGUUUGUUGCACCAGAAGUAGCUAGCCUAACUGCAAAGAGGGCGGUUACCACGGUGUGGCCGAUGACUGGGGAGAAGUCGUAACAAGGUAGCCGUAGGGGAACCUGCGGCUGGAUCACCUCCUUAACGAA